GACGUAGGUGGCGAACGUUAUCCGGAAUUAUUGGGCGUAAAGGGUGCGUAGAUGGCUUGAUAAGUUAGCAGUGGGAAAUCGAGGCUCAACCUCGUGGAAGCUGGUAAUACUGUCAGGCUCGAGUGCAGGAGAGGUUAACGGAACUCCAUGUGGAGCGGUAAAAUGUGUAGAUAUAUGGAAGAACACCAAUAACAGCGAAGGCAGUUAACUAUUCUGUUACUGACAUUGAGGCACGAAAGCGUGGGGAGCAAAACGG
RNAcentral lists this ribosomal RNA (256 nucleotides) under uncultured bacterium. RNAcentral describes it as "partial 16S ribosomal RNA". It matches the Rfam family "Bacterial small subunit ribosomal RNA", at positions 524 to 776 of the family's 1533-position model. The record is from RNAcentral.